GAGAUUUUAUAUAUCAUUUGAAAUAUCUGAUAUAUUAUAUGAGCUAUCUUGAAGUUAGAAUAAAUAGUAAAACGGCUUGCCAUAUAUACUCAUUGAAUCUAUUAUCAUUAAUAGACAGUACAUCAUCAAUAUAUCGGAAAGGGAUAUUAAAAGACGGGUCAAUUUCUUUUCUCCUGUCUGUACAAAUCCAUAAGAAUACGAAAACAAAUAGAAUUGCCAUUGCGAGCAAAGGCGGAUGUCAUACUGUUGUCAAGUUGCCAGACGACCUUGCCAUUGCUAGGUUACCGUCAGCAAUUUUGAAAUAAAAUUUAUACUAAAAAAACACAACUACCUACUGCUAGGUACAUGUAGUUCUGAGGAUCAUACAAAUUGUUGACACCUACUUUGUAUAUUGAAUAUCAUGGUUCUAUGCUCAGGAAUACUAGAAUUAUAUACAAAAAACAUAAAAAAAAAUACUGUUGACCAGUGUUUAUAGUAAUCGAGACCAUCUUGGACCAUCCCCUUAUUAAAAAGCACAACUUUAUAUAAUGGUUUACAUUAUGCCAUAAUUCCAUAAAGAUGAAUGUGUCUAUCCUUUUCCGAGAAUUUGUCGGGACAAUAAAAUUAUGGGGAAAAAGAAAAGAAAAAAACAACCAAUAACAAUAUGCCCCCUCGACCUUUGAAAGGGAUAACAUAGAACGCCCUAUAGCAGAUGCAAGGUUAUUAAACAAUAGGGGAUCCUAUAGACAGACACAGGGAUCCUAUAGAACGCACUAUAGAAUAUGCGCGAUUAUUAAACAAAAGGGGAUCAUAUAGACCGCCAAGGUAUAAACAAUAGGGGAUCCUAUAGACAGACCCGGGGAUCCUAUAGAACGCACUAUAGAAUAUGCGCGAUUAUUAAACAAAAGGGGAUCUUAUAGACCGCCCAG
Molecule: long non-coding RNA, 908 nt
Filed under: Mytilus galloprovincialis (Mediterranean mussel)
Lineage: Eukaryota; Metazoa; Mollusca; Bivalvia; Mytilida; Mytilidae
Source: RNAcentral